AUACGGAGGAUCCGAGCGUUAUCCGGAUUUAUUGGGUUUAAAGGGAGCGUAGGUGGAUUGUUAAGUCAGUUGUGAAAGUUUGCGGCUCAACCGUAAAAUUGCAGUUGAAACUGGCAGUCUUGAGUACAGUAGAGGUGGGCGGAAUUCGUGGUGUAGCGGUGAAAUGCUUAGAUAUCACGAAGAACUCCGAUUGCGAAGGCAGCUCACUGGACUGCAACUGACACUGAUGCUCGAAAGUGUGGGUAUCAAACAGGAUUAGAUACCCUGGUAGUCCACACAGUAAACGAUGAAUACUCGCUGUUUGCGAUAUACAGUAAGCGGCCAAGCGAAAGCAUUAAGUAUUCCACCUGGGGAGUACGCCGGCAACGGUGAAACUCAAAUGAAUUGGCGGGG
This 393-nucleotide ribosomal RNA is filed under the name uncultured bacterium. Its description in RNAcentral is "partial 16S ribosomal RNA". It matches the Rfam family "Bacterial small subunit ribosomal RNA", at positions 523 to 918 of the family's 1533-position model. The record is from RNAcentral.